This 195-nucleotide unclassified non-coding RNA is filed under the name uncultured Inocybe. RNAcentral describes it as "partial internal transcribed spacer 2". The record is from RNAcentral. Lineage: Eukaryota; Fungi; Basidiomycota; Agaricomycetes; Agaricales; Cortinariaceae.
AACUUCUCAAACCACAUCAGAUUGAUGUUGGCUUGGAUGUGGGGGUUGUUUUUGCAGGCUUUCUUGUAGAAGGUCGGCUCCCCUGAAAUGAAUUAGUGGUAUCUGAGGCUACUACUGUGGGUGUGAUAACUAUCUAUGCCUUUGGUAUGCCGCAUGAACAGAUUACACUGCUUCUAACAAAACAAAUGUUGAUAA